UACGUAGGCAGCGAGCGUUGUUCGGAAUUACUGGGCGUAAAGCGUGCGCAGGCGGUUUGUUAAGUCCGUUGUGAAAGCCCCGAGCUCAACUUGGGAAUUGCAGUGGAUACUGGCAGGCUGGAGUACGGUAGAGGAAGGUGGAAUUCCCGGUGUAGCAGUGAAAUGCGUAGAUAUCGGGAGGAACACCAGUGGCGAAGGCGGCCUUCUGGACCAGUACUGACGCUCAUGCACGAAAGCGUGGGGAGCGAUCCGG
This 253-nucleotide ribosomal RNA is filed under the name uncultured bacterium. RNAcentral's name for it is "partial 16S ribosomal RNA". It matches the Rfam family "Bacterial small subunit ribosomal RNA", at positions 524 to 776 of the family's 1533-position model. The record is from RNAcentral.